CGCUCGAAGGCCCCCGUGGAGGAGAAGUCAACAGAAAUGUUCAUAAAUAAUCAUUAGCUAGCACUGGCACUACUGAUUUGAUUUUUACAGUGAUCACUACACCAUGGCAGAUGAUGGCGAGUUGGAUAACUAUAUUAUAAUCUAUCCUACUGCCAACGUGCAUUGGAUGAGCUGUUGAAGGAAACCAAUAGGGCUGGGUGCAAGCAGAAACCAUGGGUCCAGCCGGCUGGAUGAGGUGUCUGCUGCGCAGCACUAACAAGCGUUUCCUGCUCAACACCAUUCCACAGCGCCGCCCUGCUGGCCACUCAGGAGAACAGACAUCAAAGAGUAGGGGGCAGGACACCACCCAGAGACAAUGGGGGACACAGGGACAAAGACAAUCAUAGAGACAGUCGAGAACUUUCUCUUUUGUGUCCAUCUUUAAGACUAAGAUAGCAACACAGGCCAAGACAGCUACAAAGACAGAAGGGACAGAGACAAUGACAAUGACAGAGACAGCCAUAGAGACAAGAAACACCGACAUAAAAGAGCCUCUGGUCACAAAAGAGACUUUGUCCCCAAAACACACAGUCCCCAUCUUCUUCUAGACCAGGGUUUCCCAACCUCAGUCUUGGACCCCCCUAGACCAGGGUUUCCCAACCUCAGUCCUGGACCCCCCUAGACCAGGGUUUCCCAACCUCAGUCCUGGACCCCCCUAGACCAGG
Molecule: long non-coding RNA, 704 nt
Organism: Salmo salar (Atlantic salmon)
Lineage: Eukaryota; Metazoa; Chordata; Actinopteri; Salmoniformes; Salmonidae
Source: RefSeq, a predicted model, not a curated record